GUAUGUAGUUUCCCCUACCUGGCAAAGCAAGAGCUGUUAAAACUAUUCUCCUCAUUUCUCUCACUUUCCCGGAAUGGAAACUCCAGCCCCCAUUUCAAUUGUCUACACAUCAUUUCCACAGGUAGCUCCACUUACAGUGACUUCCAUCCCCAAAGACCUACUUCUGUGCACAUUCCCCGCUUUUGCCACCAUUCAAUUCUGAGGAGAGAAAGAAGCCCUGGUCUAUAAUAUGAGAUACCAGUUUGGGACACACCUCAUUUGAUUUCAUUUAUAUGACAUUUUGACUAUGCAGAUUUUUGGUUUGAUGCAAUUGGUGGAUUAGUCUUUCCUUUGUGGCCUCUAAAUUUUGUGUCAUAA
Molecule: long non-coding RNA, 357 nt
Filed under: Homo sapiens (human)
Lineage: Eukaryota; Metazoa; Chordata; Mammalia; Primates; Hominidae
Description: HSALNT0121685
Source: RNAcentral